RNAcentral lists this ribosomal RNA (505 nucleotides) under uncultured bacterium. RNAcentral's name for it is "bacterial SSU rRNA". It matches the Rfam family "Bacterial small subunit ribosomal RNA", at positions 29 to 527 of the family's 1533-position model. The record is from RNAcentral.
AGUGAACGCUGGCGGCAGGCCUAACACAUGCAAGUCGAGCGGCAGCGCGGGGGCAACCCUGGCGGCGAGCGGCGGACGGGUGAGGAAUGCAUCGGAAUCUACCUCGUUGUGGGGGAUAACCUCGGGAAACCGGGACUAAUACCGCAUACGACCUACGGGUGAAAGUGGGGGACCUUCGGGCCUCACGCGAUGAGAUGAGCCGAUGCCGGAUUAGCUAGUUGGCGGGGUAAAGGCCCACCAAGGCGACGAUCCGUAGCUGGUCUGAGAGGAUGAUCAGCCACACUGGAACUGAGACACGGUCCAGACUCCUACGGGAGGCAGCAGUGGGGAAUAUUGGACAAUGGGCGCAAGCCUGAUCCAGCCAUGCCGCGUGUGUGAAGAAGGCCUUCGGGUUGUAAAGCACUUUUGUUGGGGAAGAAACCGGUCGGAUUAAUACUUCGGCUGAAUGACGGUACCCAAAGAAUAAGCAACCGGCUAACUUCGUGCCAGCAGCCGCGGUAAUAGU